CGCCUGUUUAUCAAAAACAUCUUUUCUUGUUAGUUUUUGAAGUAUGGCCUGCCCGCUGACUUGGUGUUGAAGGGCCGCGGUAUGUUGACCGUGCAAAGGUAGCAUAGUCAUUAGUUCUUUAAUUGUGAUCUGGUAUGAAUGGCUUGACGAGGCAUGGGCUGUCUUAAUUUUGAAUUGUUUAUUGAAUUUGGUCUUUGAGUUAAAAUUCUUAGAUGUUUUUAUGGGACGAGAAGACCCUAUAGAGUUUAACAUUUAUUAUGGUCCCUUUCUGUUUGUGAGGGUUCACUGGGCCGUCUAAUAUGUUUUGUUGGGGUGAUGGGAGGGAUUAAUCUAACCCCUCCUUUUUGUUGUUAUAUUUAUUUAUAUUUACUUGAUCCAUUUAUUUUGAUUGUAAGAUUAAAUUACCUUAGGGAUAACAGCGUAA
RNAcentral lists this ribosomal RNA (424 nucleotides) under Reticulitermes balkanensis. RNAcentral's name for it is "partial 16S ribosomal RNA". It matches the Rfam family "Bacterial large subunit ribosomal RNA", at positions 1797 to 2485 of the family's 2925-position model. The record is from RNAcentral. Lineage: Eukaryota; Metazoa; Arthropoda; Insecta; Blattodea; Rhinotermitidae.